This 1270-nucleotide long non-coding RNA is filed under the name Sus scrofa (pig). Its description in RNAcentral is "lncRNA (ENSSSCG00035040692.1)". The record is from RNAcentral. Lineage: Eukaryota; Metazoa; Chordata; Mammalia; Artiodactyla; Suidae.
AUGCUUGUCGUGACCACUUCCUUCUCUUUAUUCUGCAUCGGAGUUAAAGGCUGGCCUUGCCCAACUCUCACGCUGAGACCUGGACCUCAGAAACUCCAAAACACACACCCUUUACAAAAAUUUGUAAUUUCAUCAUUUCUUGACCAAGUGACUCCAACCGCAGAAAGGCACAGAUUUUCCAUUGGGAUUUAUCCUGCUGCUCCUUUUUUGACCUUACCCAAAGGAUCACAUUCAGGCCAUACCGGAUGUUCCCAAAUCAUUUCCAUCUGACGCCCGGACGGCCCAGGAGGCCUGGCCUUAAGGAGCAACCCCUGGUGAGUGCUAUUUGUGAAGGGACCAAGAUAGAAGCCGUCAGUUGUUUCUGUUCAGCCUGGUCCCAGGCCUCACCAGCAAGGGCUCACUGGUUUUCCUCUGUCAGCUGAGUUUUAGAAACAGGCUGCUGUUUACAUUCUGGCCAAGGACUGAAAUAAGAAAAAAGCAGCUCUUCAUCUCUAUUCUAAUUCCCUCCCCCCUUCUCCCUCCCCACUGUACAAACCACGGGCUUCCCGUGGAGGAGAGCUGAUUUAUAGCAGAUGGGUAAACUGAGGCACUGAGAGGUUGAUCAACGUGUCCUGGCUCUGCUUGAUGGUUGUAUCGCAAGGAAAGGCAUAUAGAAUUCUCUGUCCAGAGGAGAACCUCUGGCAGCUAAGAGUGUUCAAUCAGAAGGAAAACACCACGCUUUUAAAAGAAUCCUUUUCUUGCUAUUUCUGGAAAUGGUACUUGGAGCCCACCUGCCUGGCUCCAGAUUUUCACAGCUCCCCCAAACACAAGAGAGCCUUUUAGUUCUGUAUUCACCUUCACAGUGACCAACUGAUCAGACAAAACACACCUGGCAGAAAGGAUUUCCAGCUGCUCCAGAGGCAGCAGUGAUUUCAUCAAGGGUGGAGGUUGGGCACACUAGUAUUUAACAGGGAGGCAGGGUCUAAACUGAAAUGAGAUGGGGGUGGGGGUGGGAGCUGUGGGGGUGAGGGUGGGGGGCUAGAACUGGCAGCAGUGGGCCAGGUGUGCACAGAACCUCUGCCUCCGCUGAGAGAGAAUCUGAUGGGAGAGGCUCGUACAAUCGUUCUGUCUCAGACAGUGGUCCGAGCCCAGGAAAGGCACUUAGCCCUACAUCCAGCCCUCUAGGUUGUUUUUCUUUUUAGACUGUAUUUAUUGGAGAUGUUUUAGAUUCACCACAAAUGUGAGAGGAAGGGACAGAGCUUUUCUACACCCCUGUCCCUACACAUGUAGA